Macaca fascicularis (crab-eating macaque) is the source of this 1658-nucleotide long non-coding RNA. The record is from Ensembl. NCBI's taxonomy places the organism in Eukaryota, Metazoa, Chordata, Mammalia, Primates, Cercopithecidae.
UUUUUUGUUUUUGUUUUUUUUGGUAUGUGCAAUGCUGAUUGCAUGAUUCUUGUUCUUUUACACAAACGGGUUCAUGGCCUUCCCUUUCCCUGUUCAGUGAUUGUAAACUGUCCUAGGCUGGGAAGGAGCACAGUAGUGAUGGGGGGGUGACAGCAGAGGUGUGCUGGCUGGUGGUGCAGCCAGGAUCAAGCCUUGGACACCUGGGCAGGCCACAGAGCUUGACUGAAAUGUCUAAGAGCCAGGUGGGUCCUGGGCAUACAGCCCCCCAAAUGCCUGGUUUACUAGUUAGGACUUUAUUCUGUAAGCCUCAUAUAUGCACAACUAGCACAUAGACAGCAGCUAAUAAAUGUCACGUACACCUGAAUGGGAAGAUGCUGAUGGCUCUUCAUUUGUGUAUUUAUCUAUUGAGAGAUAGGACCUCACUCUGUUACCCAGGCUGGAGUGUAGUGGUGAGAUCACAGCCCACUCCAGCCUCGACCUCCCAAACUCAAGCUAUCCUCCCCAUCAGCCUCCCAAGUAGCCGGGACCACAGGAAGGCACCACCACAUCCAGUUAAUUUUAAUUUUAAUUUUUUUUGUAGAGAUAAGGUCUCAUUAUGUUGCCCAGGUUGGUCUUGAACUCCUGGACUCAAGCAAUGCUCCUUCCUUGGCCUCUCAAAGUGCUGGGAUUUAUAGGAGUGAACCACCAUGUCCAGCCACUGAUGGCUGUUGAUUAGGAGAAUGAUGUCAUUGCAAUUGUGCACUAGGACCAUUAUUCAGGCCAUGAAACAAGGUAGAUGACGGAGGGCACUUAGAGGUUUCUACAACAUUCGAGAGUGAAGGAAUCUGAAUGCAGACGGGUACAGGGAGAGGUAGAAGAAAGAACGUGGAUGAGUGAAACAUACACAUUCUCCAGGAAGGUGUAAAAACACUGGAACCCCAAAACCAAGAGACCAGUGCAAGCUUUGGGUUGUAAGGGCAGAAAAUAAAAUUGAACUGCUUCCUAUCUGCUUUUUAGAUUAUCUUUGAGACCAGUUUCAGGUAAGAGAAACUUAUGUUACCAGCCUAAGACAAAUUUGCAAUAUAUUUUAUUAAAUGUUCAUGUUUUCACUACCUUUAUACAGAGUGAGUAUCUAUUUGACCACAUCUUGGCUCAGAAUUCUCUUUUUCCUCCUCCCUAAAGUGGAGGUCAGAAGUGGCAGGUGACCCAGACACACUGAGGCUGGACGUCAUGAGAGGUGGAUGGAAGAGGACACUGGAACUGUAGCCCUGGAAUAGUCACAUGGGCGGGCAUCCCCCAUGUGCUUGGGUUGCCAGAACAAGGAGUCUUGAUUCAGACCCCAAGAGAGAGCUCUUGGAUCUUGUGCAGGAAGGAAUUCAAGGUGAGUCACAGAGCACAGUGAGAAGAGAUAGUUUUCUUGAAAACUGCUCAGUUACAGAGUGGGGCAACCUCACAAAGCAAGAGGGGGAAUGCCUUGUGUUUUAAGAUUUUCUCAUAUCAGGGUCUUAUCUAUGUGAAAGCUAAGCUAAGCUAUGUCUAUGUGCGGGUGGGCGGACAGCGUGACAAAAUUUAUUAUUCUGCUGAUUUAAAGAAAACUAUCCCUGGUAUGUUAGCGCAUAAGCACAUCAAAGCAUAACUAUAAUUAUCUUGAUAGCAUAUAUCGUUAUGGAUAUUGGGAC